ACAUGCAAGUCGAGCGGACGGAUGGGAGCUUGCUCCCUGAAGUCAGCGGCGGACGGGUGAGUAACACGUGGGCAACCUGCCUGUAAGACUGGGAUAACUCCGGGAAACCGGGGCUAAUACCGGAUAACUCUUUUCCUCACAUGAGGAAAAGCUGAAAGAUGGUUUCGGCUAUCACUUACAGAUGGGCCCGCGGCGCAUUAGCUAGUUGGUGAGGUAACGGCUCACCAAGGCCACGAUGCGUAGCCGACCUGAGAGGGUGAUCGGCCACACUGGGACUGAGACACGGCCCAGACUCCUACGGGAGGCAGCAGUAGGGAAUCUUCCGCAAUGGACGAAAGUCUGACGGAGCAACGCCGCGUGAGUGAUGAAGGUUUUCGGAUCGUAAAACUCUGUUGGUCUAGGGAAGAACAAGUACCGGAGUAACUGGCGGUAGCUUGACGGUACCUGACCAGAAAGCCACGGGUAACUACGUGCCAGCAGACGCGGCUAAUACGUAGUGUGGGAAGCGUUGUCCGGAAUUAUUGGGCGUAAAGCGCGCGCAGGCGG
This 546-nucleotide ribosomal RNA is filed under the name Bacillus sp. 6-2. RNAcentral describes it as "bacterial SSU rRNA". It matches the Rfam family "Bacterial small subunit ribosomal RNA", at positions 53 to 578 of the family's 1533-position model. The record is from RNAcentral. Lineage: Bacteria; Bacillati; Bacillota; Bacilli; Caryophanales; Bacillaceae.